RNAcentral lists this ribosomal RNA (436 nucleotides) under uncultured bacterium. Its description in RNAcentral is "bacterial SSU rRNA". It matches the Rfam family "Bacterial small subunit ribosomal RNA", at positions 28 to 446 of the family's 1533-position model. The record is from RNAcentral.
GACGAACGCUGGCGGCGUGCUUAACACAUGCAAGUCGAACGAGAAUCUGUGGAAAGAGGAUUCGUCCAAUUGAAGCAGAGGACAGUGGCGGACGGGUGAGUAACGCGUGAGGAACCUGCCUUUCAGAGGGGGACAACAGUUGGAAACGACUGCUAAUACCGCAUAACAUAUAGAUGUCGCAUGGCAUUUAUAUCAAAGAUUUAUCGCUGAAAGAUGGCCUCGCGUCUGAUUAGCUAGUUGGUGAGGUAACGGCCCACCGAGGCGACGAUCGGUAGCCGGACUGAGAGGUUGAACGGCCACAUUGGGACUGAGACACGGCCCAAGCUCCUACGGGAGGCAGCAGUGGGGAAUAUUGCACAAUGGGGGAAACCCUGAUGCAGCGACGCCGCGUGAGUGAUGAAGUAUUUCGGUAUGUAAAAACUCUAUCAGCAGGGAA